This 252-nucleotide unclassified non-coding RNA is filed under the name Hevea brasiliensis (rubber tree). Lineage: Eukaryota; Viridiplantae; Streptophyta; Magnoliopsida; Malpighiales; Euphorbiaceae. The record is from RNAcentral.
AUAUAUGAGAAGGAAAAUAAAAAUAAAAUUUCAAAGAACGAGAAAGAAGAAAGAGAAAGUGAUGAUGGGAAUGUGACGAUGAGUCUUCACAUCCCAGGAGAGCAUUGCCAAUUCUAUGUUAAUUCUCAUCAACAACACUCUUUUUGCUUUGAUGCUGCUGCUGAUACCAUUGUUGUCACCAUUGCCAAACAACUUCAGGAAUUGAGCUUGGGAAAAUUGAAGAGUGCAAGAAGUGAGAUGAUAUUUGUGCCA